CUACGGGUUGCACCAGUGAGGAAUAUUGCACAAUGGGGGGAACCCUGAUGCAGCAACGCCGCGUGGAAGAUGACGCAUUUCGGUGUGUAAACUCCUUUUAUAUGUCAAGAAAAUGACGGUAGCAUAUGAAUAAGCACCGGCUAACUCCGUGCCAGCAGCCGCGGUAAUACGGAGGGUGCAAGCGUUACUCGGAAUCACUGGGCGUAAAGGACGCGUAGGCGGGUUGGAAAGUCAGGUGUGAAAUCCUACAGCUUAACUGUAGAACUGCACUUGAAACUUCUAAUCUAGAGUAUGGGAGGGGGAGAUGGAAUUAGUGGUGUAGGGGUAAAAUCCGUAGAUAUCACUAGGAAUACCUAAAGCGAAGGCGAUCUCCUGGAACAUUACUGACGCUAAGGCGUGAAAGCGUGGGGAGCAAACAGGAUUAGAUACCCGCGUAGUC
This 439-nucleotide ribosomal RNA is filed under the name uncultured bacterium. RNAcentral describes it as "partial 16S ribosomal RNA". It matches the Rfam family "Bacterial small subunit ribosomal RNA", at positions 339 to 795 of the family's 1533-position model. The record is from RNAcentral.